RNAcentral lists this long non-coding RNA (229 nucleotides) under Mytilus galloprovincialis (Mediterranean mussel). The record is from RNAcentral. Lineage: Eukaryota; Metazoa; Mollusca; Bivalvia; Mytilida; Mytilidae.
GGAUCUUUUUAUGUACAACUAACGGUUUAAGUUGUUUGUGUAAUUAUUUAUAGUUCCUGCAAAUAUCAGCACGACACCAAAUCAAUAUAUUUAAAUAUGUUUGAAGUACUUUUCCAGUUUAACCUCUUCAUGAAUAUAUAGUUAUCAAAAGUACCAGGAUUAUAAUUUUAUACGCCAGACGCGCGUUUCGUCUACAAAAGACUCAUCAGUGACGAUCAGAUCAAAAUAG